GUGGGGAAUAUUGCGCAAUGGGGGAAACCCUGACGCAGCGACGCCGCGUGAGUGAUGAAGGCCUUCGGGUCGUAAAGCUCUGUUGCAGGGGAAUAAAAAAAUGAAGGUACCCUGUGAGGAAGGAUCGGCUAACUUCGUGCCAGCAGCCGCGGUAAGACGAGGGAUCCUAGCGUUGCUCGGAAUCAUUGGGCGUAAAGAGGGCGUAGGUGGCUUGGUAAGUCAGGUGUGAAAGCCCAGGGCUCAACCCUGGAAGUGCAUUUGAUACUGCUGAGCUUGAGUGUCGGAGAGGUUACCGGAAUACCUGGUGUAGUGAUGAAAUACGUAGAUAUCAGGUGGAACACCGGAGGCGAAGGCGGGUAACUGGACGAACACUGACACUGAGGCCCGAAAGCGUGGGGAUCAAACAGGAUUAGAUACCCUGGUAGUCC
Molecule: ribosomal RNA, 428 nt
Filed under: uncultured bacterium
Lineage: Bacteria
Description: partial 16S ribosomal RNA
Rfam family: Bacterial small subunit ribosomal RNA
Source: RNAcentral